UUGCGGAAGACAAACUACUGCGAAAGCAUUGCCAAAGGAUGUUUCAUUUGAUCAAGAACGAAGGAAGGGGGAUCGAAAACGAUUAGAUACCGUUGUAGUCUCUUCUGUAAACUAUGCCAAUUGGGGAUCGGUACAGGAUUUUUAAUGACUGUAUCGGCACCCGAAGAGAAAUCUUUAAAUGAGGUUCGGGGGGGAGUAUGGUCGCAAGGCUGAAACUUAAAGGAAUUGACGGAAGGGCACCACCAGGUGUGGAGCCUGCGGCUUAAUUUGACUCAACACGGGGAAACUCACCAGGUCCAGACACAAUAAGGAUUGACAGAUUGAUAGCUCUUUCUUGAUCUUGUGGUUGGUGGUGCAUGGCCGUUCUUAGUUGGUGGAGUGAUUUGUCUGGUUAAUUCCGAUAACGAACGAGACCUUAACCUGCUAAAUAGACCAGCCGGCUUUGGCUAGCUGCUGUCUUCUUAGAGGGACUAUCAGCGUUUAGCUGAUGGAAGUUUGAGGCAAUAACAGGUCUGUGAUGCCCUUAGAUGUUCUGGGCCGCACGCGCGCUACACUGACAGAGCCAGCGAGUCUACCACCUUUGCCGGAAGGCAUGGGUAAUCUUGUGAAACUCUGUCGUGAUGGGGAUAGAACAUUGCAAUUAUUGUUCUUCAACGAGGAAUACCUAGUAAGCGUGAUUCAUCAGAUCGCGUUGAUUACGUCCCUGCCCUUUGUACACACCGCCCGUCGCUACUACCGAUUGAAUGGCUUAGUGAGGCCUCCGGAUUGGCUAUUGGGAGCUCGCGAGAGCACCCGACUGCCGAGAAGUUGUACGAAAUUGGUCAUUUAGAGGAAGUAAAAGUCGUA
RNAcentral lists this ribosomal RNA (846 nucleotides) under uncultured fungus. Its description in RNAcentral is "SSU rRNA". It matches the Rfam family "Eukaryotic small subunit ribosomal RNA", at positions 926 to 1793 of the family's 1831-position model. Lineage: Eukaryota; Fungi. The record is from RNAcentral.